CAAGACAACUUUACGGAGUUGACGAUUGACGGAGCGAAGCGACGUCAAAGCGUUCAUUAAAGUCGAGUUGGCUUAGGGAUACGUUCGUUGGGUAGGGGAGCGUUCUGUAAGCCUGUGAAGGUGUGUCGUGAGGCAUGCUGGAGGUAUCAGAAGUGCGAAUGCUGACAUAAGUAACGAUAAAGCGGGUGAAAAGCCCGCUCGCCGGAAGACCAAGGGUUCCUGUCCAACGUUAAUCGGGGCAGGGUGAGUCGACCCCUAAGGCGAGGCCGAAAGGCGUAGUCGAUGGGAAACGGGUUAAUAUUCCCGUACUUGGUGUUACUGCGAAGGGGGGACGGAGAAGGCUAUGUUGGCCGGGCGACGGUUGUCCCGGUUUAAGCGUGUAGGUGUGUGUUCCAGGUAAAUCCGGUUCACUUUAACACUGAGGCGUGACGACGAGGCACUACGGUGCUGAAGCAACAAAUGCCCUGCUUCCAGGAAAAGCCUCUAAGCAUCAGGUAACACGAAAUCGUACCCCAAACCGA
This 521-nucleotide ribosomal RNA is filed under the name Salmonella enterica subsp. enterica. Its description in RNAcentral is "partial 23S ribosomal RNA". It matches the Rfam family "Bacterial large subunit ribosomal RNA", at positions 1163 to 1657 of the family's 2925-position model. Lineage: Bacteria; Pseudomonadati; Pseudomonadota; Gammaproteobacteria; Enterobacterales; Enterobacteriaceae. The record is from RNAcentral.